AGGAGGCAGCAGUAAGGAAUAUUGGGCAAUGGGCGCAAGCCUGACCCAGCCACGCCGCGUGAGUGAUGAAGGCCUUCGGGUCGUAAAGCUCUGUGGGGAGGGACGAAACUCCGUGGCCUAACACGCCACGGACUGACGGUACUUCCUUAGCAAGCACCGGCUAACUCCGUGCCAGCAGCCGCGGUAAUACGGAGGGUGCAAACGUUGCUCGGAAUCAUUGGGCGUAAAGCGCGCGUAGGCGGUACGGCAAGUCGGGUGUGAAAGCCCUCGGCUUAACCGAGGAAGUGCAUCCGAAACUACCGAGCUAGAGUACCGGAGAGGGUGACGGAAUUCCCGGUGUAGAGGUGAAAUUCGUAGAUAUCGGGAGGAACACCAGCGGCGAAGGCGGUCACCUGGACGGAUACUGACGCUGAGGCGCGAAAGCGUGGGGAGCAAACAGGAUUAGAUACCCCGGUAGC
Molecule: ribosomal RNA, 458 nt
Filed under: uncultured bacterium
Lineage: Bacteria
Description: bacterial SSU rRNA
Rfam family: Bacterial small subunit ribosomal RNA
Source: RNAcentral